This 443-nucleotide ribosomal RNA is filed under the name uncultured bacterium. RNAcentral's name for it is "bacterial SSU rRNA". It matches the Rfam family "Bacterial small subunit ribosomal RNA", at positions 337 to 796 of the family's 1533-position model. The record is from RNAcentral.
UCCUACGGGGGGCUGCAGUCGAGAAUCUUCGGCAAUGGGGGAAACCCUGACCGAGCGACGUCGCGUGGUGGAUGAAGGCCUUCGGGUUGUAAACACCUGUUGGGGGGGAACAAUAACGAGUGAACCCCUGAGGAAGCACGGGCUAAGUUCGUGCCAGCAGCCGCGGUAAGACGAACCGUGCAAACGUUACUCGGAAUCACUGGGCGUAAAGCGCACGUAGGCGGCGACAUAAGUUAGAGGUGAAAUCCCAUCGGCUCAACCGUGGAACUGCCUCUAAUACUGUGUUGCUUGAGGGAGAACGGGGCAUUCGGAACUUCCGGUGGAGCGGUGAAAUGUGUUGAUAUCGGAAGGAACGCCGGUGGCGAAAGCGGAAUGCUGGGUCUCUUCUGACGCUGAGGUGCGAAAGCUAGGGUAGCGAACGGGAUUAGAUACCCUGGUAGUCA